RNAcentral lists this transfer RNA (82 nucleotides) under Canis lupus familiaris (dog). It matches the Rfam family "tRNA". Rfam says of the family: Transfer RNA (tRNA) molecules are approximately 80 nucleotides in length. Lineage: Eukaryota; Metazoa; Chordata; Mammalia; Carnivora; Canidae. RNAcentral also lists the same sequence under 1 other name. The record is from Rfam by way of RNAcentral.
GCCUGAGUGGCUCAGUGGUUGAGCAUCUGCCUUCAACUCAGAGCAUGAUCCCAGAAUCCGGGAUCAAGUCCCACGUCAGGCU